AGUAGUCUUUUAAUUGAAGGCUGGAAUGAAUGGUUGGACAAGGUACAAACUAUCUUAAAUUUAGGAAUUGAAUUUUACUUUUAAGUGAAAAGGCUUAAAUAUUUUAAAGUGACGAUAAGACCCUAUAAAGCUUUACAUUUAAUUGUUUGAUUCUAUAUUUAAGGUUUAAAUUUAAUUUUAUAAUUAUUGUUGCAUUGGGGCGAUGUGAGUUUAAUAAGUAACAGUUGUUAAUUAAAAAUAGAUUAUAUCUAGGAGAGGAGAUCCUUUAUAAAGAUUAUAAGAAAAAGUUACUUUAGGGAUAACAGCGUAAUUUUUUCAGAGAGUUCAUAUCGACGAAAGUAGUUGCGACCUCGAUGUUGAAUUAAGAUUACUUUAGGGUGUAGCCGUUCUAAAUGAAGGUCUGUUCGACCUUUAAAAUCUU
This 421-nucleotide ribosomal RNA is filed under the name Leptochela crosnieri. RNAcentral describes it as "partial 16S ribosomal RNA". It matches the Rfam family "Bacterial large subunit ribosomal RNA", at positions 1967 to 2597 of the family's 2925-position model. The record is from RNAcentral. Lineage: Eukaryota; Metazoa; Arthropoda; Malacostraca; Decapoda; Pasiphaeidae.